GCAACAUGCAAACUCCCUCAUAGAUUGCAGGAGUGCAGCACUGACAGGCUGGGAGUACGAGCAAGCGGACGAGGCGCCAGUCGAAGGGCGAACAAGGCAACAGAACAUCCAGCAUGGUGGGAAGGAGACGUGGCUCCAGAGCCAACAGCGGACCACACCGGCCCCAACAGCAAUGCAGUGGGGGACCCCGCAAGACUCUGAGGGAGCCAGCAUUAUUUGCCAAGAAAACAGGAUAUGAGUCAGAAGUUCCUCAUGAAAAGAUGACCAUCGUCCAGGCCAAGAGAGGCACUCCAGCAGUCCGGCCAGUGCGAGUCUAUGCCGAUGGGAUCUUUGACCUCUUCCACUCUGGACACGCUCGUGCUCUGAUGCAAGCGAAGAACUUGUUCCCCAACACACAUCUCAUAGUGGGAGUCUGCAGUGAUGAACUCACACACAAGUAUAAGGGCUACACGGUGAUGACAGAGUCGGAGCGCUACGAAGCCCUGAUACACUGUCGCUAUGUGGAUGAGGUGGUACGGGACGCUCCCUGGACCCUCAGCCCUGACUUCCUGAAGAAACAUAAGAUUGACUUCGUGGCCCAUGACGAUAUCCCAUACACCUCUGCAGGAUCAGAGGAUGUCUACAAACACAUCAAGGAAGCAGGGAUGUUUGUGGCCACACAGAGGACAGACGGCAUCUCUACAUCCGACCUCAUCACCAGGAUAGUGAGAGACUAUGACCUUUAUGUCCGACGCAACCUGCAGAGAGGCUACACAGCCAGAGACCUCAACGUUAGCUUCAUCAGGUGUUGGUGGUUGUGGUUGAUAAACAGAAGAUGCCUUAUAGCCGACCACUUGACUUGUCGUAGGCUGUUCUCUCUGCUAUCGCACGCCAAACGGUCCCGGAGCGCCAAGUCUGGGACCAAAAGGUUCCUGAACAGCUUCAACCCCCAAGCCAUAAGACUGCUGAACAGUUCAUCAAAUGGCCACCGGACUAUUUACAUGGACUUUAUUAUUUGCACUGACUCUCUUGCACUGUCUCUAUGCACACUCACUACUCUACCCACACACUUACACAUACCGUAAUACACUGACACUCCAACACACACACACACACACACAUGUAUAUUGAAGCUACGCACACACACACUCACACAUAGACACACUAUCACACUUCACAUACACUGCUGCUACUGUGUUUAUUAUCUAUCCUGAUUGCCUAGUCACUUUUACCCCUACCUACAUGAACAUACUGUAUUACCUCAACUACCUCGUACCCCUGCAUAUUGACUCAGUACUGGUACUCUUUGUAUAUUGUUGUUAUUGUGUUACUAUUUCCUUCUUUUUUUUAGCAAAUACUUGUCUUACUUUCAAUCUCUGCAUUGUUGGGAAUGGGCUCAUGCGUAAGCAUUUCAAGUAACGUCUACACAUGUCAUUUAUUCUGCAGGAGAAGAAAAUCCGUCUGCAGAACCAGGUGGAUCGUAUGAAGGAGACGGUGAAGACAGUGGAGGAGAAGUCCAAGCACUUUGUGUUCAAGGUGGAGGAGAAGAGCCAUGACCUCAUCCAGAAGUGGGAGGAGAAGUCACGGGAGUUCAUUGGGAAUUUCCUGGAGUUGUUUGGUCCAGAAGGAGCGUGGCAUGUGAUCCAGGAGCAGAGUGGGCGCAUGCUCCAGGCCCUGUCACCCUACGCGUCACCCGUUGCCUCGCCCCGUGGCUCCCCCAGCAGCAGCCCCACCAGAGGGCGCUCCCCAUCGCCCCCCUCCUCUCCCACAUCCCCUUCCUCCCGAUCCCCUCGUUCUCCCCGUUCCCCUCAUUCCUCUCCCACCUCCCCUUCCUCCCGAUCCCCUCAUUCCUCUCCCACCUCCCCUUCCUCUCGCAAGGGUGCCUCUGCCUAUCCCUUAACCUUCCUCGGGGAUGACGAGUAGAGAUGGCACUGUCAUUCCCAAACAAACACAGACCCAAACACUCAGUGUACAUGGUUACUUUGUGCACUUCGUGUAUGUAAGAUGUCGCCCACAGUUUACCAUAUGUGUUAUUUGAUUGUGUAUGUUAAGGUAACUGAAUGCACUGUGGUAUCUCAAUCAGUUGACUCACUCCAUUCUCACUUCUGAUUCCUGUACCACACAAAAACAUACAAAUAAUACCACUUUUUCACUGUCUCCAUUUUGCAUCAACCAGGCUUUAUUUUUUUUAGAAAUACUUAGUGAAACGCUCAAAUUUGCAUUCAGUUGUCUAUGAUAUGCAGUAAAAACAAAACAUUUCGGACAUUUUCUUUUUAAUAUUAAAUACAAAACAAUCAUU
This is an RNA transcript of Oncorhynchus kisutch (coho salmon), 2278 nucleotides long. It is a transcript of the gene named choline-phosphate cytidylyltransferase B, with no coding region annotated. The transcript has 8 exons. Lineage: Eukaryota; Metazoa; Chordata; Actinopteri; Salmoniformes; Salmonidae. The record is from RefSeq and is a predicted model, not a curated record.